This 497-nucleotide ribosomal RNA is filed under the name uncultured bacterium. RNAcentral's name for it is "partial 16S ribosomal RNA". It matches the Rfam family "Bacterial small subunit ribosomal RNA", at positions 28 to 507 of the family's 1533-position model. The record is from RNAcentral.
GACGAACGCUGGCGGCGUGCCUAACACAUGCAAGUCGAACGAUGAAGAGAGGAGCUUACUCUUCUUGGUUGAGUUGCGAACGGGUGCGUAACGUGUAGGUAACCUGCCUUGUAGCGGGGGGUAACUAUUGGAAACGAUAGCUACUACCGCAUAACAAUGGAUGACACAUGUCAUUUAUUUGAAAGGAGCUAUUGCUUCACUACAAGAUGGACCUGCGUUGUAUUAGCUAGUAGGUGGGGUAAUGGCUCCUCUAGACGUCGAUGCAUAGCAGACCUGAGAGGGUGAGCUGCCACGCUGGGACGAGAACACGGCCCGGACUCCUGCGAGUGGCAGCAGUAGGGGACCCUCAGGAAAGGCAGCAGCGGUGACCGUGCAACACUGGGUGAGAGCAUGAGGUAGUCGGGUCGUGAGACUGAGUUAUGAGUUAAGGUCGGAAAGGUGUGUGGAAAGGUCAGACAAUGACGGUAGCGGACCAAUAAGGGACGGCUAACUACGUG